Transfer RNA from Neodiprion lecontei (redheaded pine sawfly), 74 nucleotides. It matches the Rfam family "tRNA". From Rfam's summary of the family: Transfer RNA (tRNA) molecules are approximately 80 nucleotides in length. Their secondary structure includes four short double-helical elements and three loops (D, anti-codon, and T loops). Lineage: Eukaryota; Metazoa; Arthropoda; Insecta; Hymenoptera; Diprionidae. The record is from Rfam.
GGCCCAUUAGCUCAGUUGGUYAGAGCGUCGUGCUAAUAACGCGAAGGUCGAAGGUUCGAUCCUUUCAUGGGCCA